GUCACGUCUCAGCCUUUUGGUUAAGAUCAAGUAUAAUGUCUGUUCUUAUCAUUUUAAUAUUUGAUAUGUCCUCUAUUUGAAGACAAUAUAUUAAAUGGAUUUUUGGACAUAGGAGAUGAAAUAGGAAUUUGCUUCGUUAGCUCCACAAUAUUGCAGAACCUCUAGGAAUGGGGCACCCUAC
RNAcentral lists this small nuclear RNA (181 nucleotides) under Sciurus vulgaris (Eurasian red squirrel). RNAcentral describes it as "U2 spliceosomal RNA (ENSSVLG00005015583.1)". It matches the Rfam family "U2 spliceosomal RNA". Rfam says of the family: U2 is a small nuclear RNA (snRNA) component of the spliceosome (involved in pre-mRNA splicing). The record is from Rfam by way of RNAcentral. Lineage: Eukaryota; Metazoa; Chordata; Mammalia; Rodentia; Sciuridae.